UUGACCUCAAAUCAGGUAGGACUACCCGCUGAACUUAAGCAUAUCAAUAAGCGGAGGAAAAGAAACUAACAAGGAUUCCCCUAGUAACUGCGAGUGAAGCGGGAAAAGCUCAAAUUUAAAAUCUGGCAGCCUUGCUGUCCGAGUUGUAAUCUAGAGAAGUGCUUUCCGCGUUGGACCGUGUACAAGUCUCUUGGAACGGAGCGUCAUAGAGGGUGAGAAUCCCGUCUUUGACACGGACUACCAGUGCUUAUGUGAUGCGCUCUCAAAGAGUCGAGUUGUUG
This 281-nucleotide ribosomal RNA is filed under the name Hygrophorus piceae. RNAcentral describes it as "partial 28S ribosomal RNA". It matches the Rfam family "Eukaryotic large subunit ribosomal RNA", at positions 1 to 275 of the family's 3401-position model. Lineage: Eukaryota; Fungi; Basidiomycota; Agaricomycetes; Agaricales; Hygrophoraceae. The record is from RNAcentral.